GACGAACGCUGGCGGCGUGCUUAACACAUGCAAGUCGAACGGAAAGGCCCUGCUUGCAGGGUACUCGAGUGGCGAACGGGUGAGUAGCACGUGGGUGAUCUGCCCUGCACUUCGGGAUAAGCCUGGGAAACUGGGUCUAAUACCGGAUAGGAGCCAUUUUUAGUGUGAUGGUUGGAAAGUUUUUUCGGUGUAGGAUGAGCUCGCGGCCUAUCAGCUUGUUGGUGGGGUAAUGGCCUACCAAGGCGGCGACGGGUAGCCGGCCUGAGAGGGUGGACGGCCACAGUGGGACUGAGAUACGGCCCAGACUCCGACGGGAGGCAGCAGGGGGGAAUAUUGCACAAUGGGCGCAAGCCGGAUGCAGCGACGCCGCGUGGGGGAUGACGGCCUUCGGGUUGUAAACUCCUUUCGCUAGGGACGAAGCUUUUUGUGACGGUACCUAGAGAAGAAGCACCGGCUAACUACGUG
This 465-nucleotide ribosomal RNA is filed under the name uncultured bacterium. RNAcentral describes it as "partial 16S ribosomal RNA". It matches the Rfam family "Bacterial small subunit ribosomal RNA", at positions 28 to 507 of the family's 1533-position model. The record is from RNAcentral.